Molecule: regulatory RNA element, 94 nt
Organism: Paenibacillus sp. FSL H8-0548
Lineage: Bacteria; Bacillati; Bacillota; Bacilli; Caryophanales; Paenibacillaceae
Rfam family: ylbH leader
About the family: This family is a putative regulatory RNA structure that is found upstream of the ylbH gene in B. subtilis and related low GC Gram-positive bacteria.
Source: Rfam
ACAACAAAUCGGAGCCCUAUCACUAGGGCUCCUAUUCAUGGGAGAGGAGAAACCGGACGAAGAGCUUAUGGGGAAACGUAAGUCUUCUCCGCGG